AAUUUGAGAAAGCAUAGAUUAUAACUAUAUCAUAUAAUAUGAGAAUAUUACAUAAAUGAACAACGAAGCUGUUUGGAGCUUUGCUCCAUUACACUGCAACCCAUUUGGGACAUUCCGAUGAAAAGUGCUGAGUGGGGUGCCUGGUUCCAAACUGAAAUAUAACAGAGGUUCUGUCUUUUUGUGCACAUAUUACUAUUUUCCAGUCCCCCAUCAAAUUUCAUAUGGAUCACCAUUGAGAAGGCCCAACUGAGAGUAAGCACAACAUGGUUAUCUGCAAUUUUCAACAUAACACAGAUGGACAUAUAUGGAUGGAUUAUUUUAGUAAUGAAUUGCACUUCUUACCUUAUCUACAGAAUUAUUCAGUCCAUUUUCAUGAACAUCAGCAAUCAAACCUGUGGAAUGUAUU
This is a long non-coding RNA of Pantherophis guttatus, 406 nucleotides long. RefSeq lists it as uncharacterized. Lineage: Eukaryota; Metazoa; Chordata; Lepidosauria; Squamata; Colubridae. The record is from RefSeq and is a predicted model, not a curated record.